Molecule: ribosomal RNA, 512 nt
Filed under: uncultured bacterium
Lineage: Bacteria
Description: bacterial SSU rRNA
Rfam family: Bacterial small subunit ribosomal RNA
Source: RNAcentral
AACGAACGCUGGCGGCAGGCCUCAUACAUGCAAGUCGAGCGAUUAAGACUCCUUCGGGAGUGUAUAAAGCGGCGAACGGGUGAGUAACAGGUGGAUGAUCUACCUUCCGGUGGGGGAUAACGGCUGGAAACGGCCGCUAAUACCGCAUUCGGUUAAUACGCUGUGGCGUAUUAAAGAAAGGCGCCUCAAAGCGCCGCCGGGAGAUGAGUCCGCCCCCCAUUAGCUAGUUGGUGAGAUAACAGCUCACCAAGGCAACGAUGGGUAGCCGAACUGAGAGGUUGAUCGGCCACACUGGAACUGAGACACGGUCCAGACACCUACGGGUGGCAGCAGUAGGGAAUAUUGGGCAAUGGGCGAAAGCCUGACCCAGCCAUGCCGCGUGAGUGAUGAAGGUCCUAGAGAUUGUAAAACUCUUUUCUGAGGAAAGAAUGAAUAGGAAGGAAAUGUCCUUAUUUGACGGUACCUCAGGAAUAAGGAACGGCUAACUCCGUGCCAGCAGCCGCGGUAAAACG